RNAcentral lists this transfer RNA (74 nucleotides) under Elusimicrobiota bacterium. Its description in RNAcentral is "Elusimicrobia bacterium tRNA-Leu". It matches the Rfam family "tRNA". From Rfam's summary of the family: Transfer RNA (tRNA) molecules are approximately 80 nucleotides in length. Their secondary structure includes four short double-helical elements and three loops (D, anti-codon, and T loops). Further hydrogen bonds mediate the characteristic L-shaped molecular structure. tRNAs have two regions of fundamental functional importance: the anti-codon, which is responsible for specific mRNA codon recognition, and the 3' end, to which the tRNAs corresponding amino acid is attached (by aminoacyl-tRNA synthetases). tRNAs cope with the degeneracy of the genetic code in two manners: having more than one tRNA (with a specific anti-codon) for a particular amino acid; and 'wobble' base-pairing, i.e. permitting non-standard base-pairing at the 3rd anti-codon position. The record is from RNAcentral. Lineage: Bacteria; Pseudomonadati; Elusimicrobiota.
CCCCGAGUAUCCCAAUAGGUCGAGGAAGCGGACUUAAAAUCCGUAAAGUGUGGGUUCGAGUCCCACCUCGGGGA